Molecule: ribosomal RNA, 197 nt
Filed under: uncultured bacterium
Lineage: Bacteria
Description: partial 16S ribosomal RNA
Rfam family: Bacterial small subunit ribosomal RNA
Source: RNAcentral
ACGCUCGACACCUACGGGAGGCAGCAGUGGGGAAUAUUGCACAAUGGGGGAAACCCUGAUGCAGCGACGCCGCGUGGAGGAAGAAGGUCUUCGGAUUGUAAACUCCUGUUGUUGGGAAAAAGNGGAUGGUAACCCAACAAGGAAGUGACGGCUAACUACGUGCCACAGCCGCGGUAAUCUGAGCGGGCUGGCAAGGC